This 2112-nucleotide long non-coding RNA is filed under the name Oryza sativa (Asian cultivated rice). Its description in RNAcentral is "long non-coding RNA (OSAT_LNC000363)". The record is from RNAcentral. Lineage: Eukaryota; Viridiplantae; Streptophyta; Magnoliopsida; Poales; Poaceae.
CGCGUGGAGGUGACGCUGAUGGAGCUUCGGUACGAGCACUGAUGAUCACUUGUUGGUUUGCUCAUGGUGGUUCCUCUAGCCCUUUGCAGUCAAGAAAGAGAGAAGAAACAAAGAUAAGAGAGAGGGAGCUGGAUGUGGAAGAAGAGGCCCAAAAUAAAACAAACAUGUAAAUUUAGGUGGUCCAAAGUGAAAAGAUUGUUCUAUCCCCAGUCCAAAUUGACACAAUGGUAAAGAAAGGUGGCCCAAUAUGCAAUUUACUCAAAAAUUAACUAAUAAUUAAUUAAUCAUGCACUAAUGAACUGCUUCGUUUUCUGUGCUAGAGGGAUGGUUCCUAACCCAGGCAAAAGAACAGAGCCCAAUAUAUUGGUUGCAACAACUCAAUUUGGAUAUCUAUCAUCUUCCUCCUAUGUCCUAUGGAUUCAUGGAAUGAUUUUCGACUGUACGUGCAUGAUAAUACAGAUGCAUUACGUUAAUUUGUUGCCCUGAAUUGAUUAAUUUGCCAUGUGUCUCAACACAAGACAACAAAGUGGCAUUGUCGCAUAAGAGAGAACCUGCAUAUUCUGAAGUGUUUAAAAGCUGGGUGGAUUUAUUGUUGGCUCAUCGUGGGGUGGUGCCGUGGUGGCGGCAGAUCCGUCCGUUGUAGAGUCAACGGCGUUGGCAACUCUCGCCGCCCGCAAGCUUCUUCCUUCAGCCACCAGUUGCUUCUUCCCCACCACUUCAUGGGGGCGGGGGCGGCGGAUCCACCCGCCGCAGAGCCCACGGCGACAGAUCCGCCUGCCACGACGCCAGCGGCAUCGGCAGCUCCCAUCGCCCACUAGCUACUCCCUCGUGGCAUUUUUUGGGGCCGACGAUGGCAGAUCCACAUGUUGUGGUGCCGGUGACAUCGGUUGCUCCCACCACCAGCUGCUCCCGCCCCACCACUUCGCGGGGGUCGGCGGCGGCGGCGGAUCCGCCCGCCACAGGGUCGGCAACAUCGGCUGCUCCCACCGCCCGCCAAACAGCUACCAAGCUCUGUCCCGCCGCCCCGAGAAGAUGAGCAGAUACGGAGGGAGAGGGAAAGAGGGGUGGAAGGUAGAGAUGGCAACGGGGAAUUCACCACCUGGGGUUACAUCCGCGUCCACGUCCCCGUCACCGUGGUGUUAAAAAUUUCACCCACCCCGUCACCACGCGGUGAAUUAAUCCCCGUGGUUACUCCCGUAGAGAGAAUCAAAGAAGGGACGGCGUGCUGGCGAGUGGCGAGUUGGCGACGGCGUGUGUGGCGCGAGGACAGCCGGAGGCGGCACAAGCUGCAAGAGACGGCUCAAGCCAUGUCCCCAUCGAUCGAUCUAUCUCGCAGUGAGGCCGAAGCCAUGGUUGGCAGAUGGCUGGAGGCGCGACGACGACUAGGGGCAGCGGGCGAUGCGACGUGGGCUGGAGGCGACGGGCGGCGCGACGAGGGCUGGAGACGGCCGUGCAAGGAGCCGAGGACGGCUGGAGGCGGCACGCUCGUUGAUGGACGAUGGCCGGAGGCGGCGGACGUCGCGAUGAUGGCCGGAGGCGUCGGGACCUCGCCCGCGCGAGGAGACGCGGCGACGCACGCGUGUGAGUCUCGAGCGGCCGCGGCGGCGCUGUGGAGUGAAGAGGAAGAUGGAGAGGGGAAAGGGAGGAUUAUGGUUAGAAUAUACACACACGUGGUUAUUGGACAUCAAUUUUAUAGACCAAAACGACUAUAAAGUCUAAAAUAGGUUCCUAUCUACGCUAAAUGAGGGUCACCGCGGGGGACGGGGACGGUGAGUGAGUGGUGCACCGUCCCCGGCCCCGCCAUCCCCGAUGGUGAUGGGUUUUGGACCAUUAGAUCCCCUAUUGAGGGUAGAUAUCAACCAUCCCCAUCCUCUAAUGUGUGAAUUCACUGUGGGGAAUCGGUGAUCGGGUCCCCAUUGCCAUCUCUAGUGGAAGGAGGAGAGGGGUGAAGACUUAAGAAAAAGAGUCCUUAUGUUGUGGAAGUAAGGUUGUCAGGAUCGGAAUACUAGAAGUAUCGUUUUGCUCAAAGUAUUAUCGUAUCCUAGUAUUGGGAUACUAUGAGAUUUUAUUUUUUUUAAGUUUAAUUAAUAUUUAUAUUAAUCACAUAUAGCC